CCUAACGGGAGGCAGCAGUGAGGAAUAUUGGUCAAUGGGCUUACGCCUGAACCAGCCAAGUCGCGUGAGGGAAGACUGCCCUAUGGGUUGUAAACCUCUUUUGUCAGGGAGCAAUUGGCGCUACGUGUAGCGUUAUCGAGAGUACCUGAAGAAAAAGCAUCGGCUAACUCCGUGCCAGCAGCCGCGGUAAUACGGAGGAUGCGAGCGUUAUCCGGAUUUAUUGGGUUUAACGGGUGCGUAGGCGGAAUGCCAAGUCAGCGGUAAAAUCGCGGGGCUCAACCUCGCUCCGCCGUUGAAACUGGCGUUAUUGAGUGGGCGAGAAGUAUGCGGAAUGCGUGGUGUAGCGGUGAAAUGCAUAGAUAUCACGCAGAACUCCGAUUGCGAAGGCAGCAUACCGGCGCCCAACUGACGCUGAAGCACGAAAGCGUGGGUAUCGAACAGGAUUAGAUACCCUAGUAGUC
This 461-nucleotide ribosomal RNA is filed under the name uncultured bacterium. Its description in RNAcentral is "partial 16S ribosomal RNA". It matches the Rfam family "Bacterial small subunit ribosomal RNA", at positions 338 to 795 of the family's 1533-position model. The record is from RNAcentral.